GCUCUAAACUACCUGCACAUUUAUCAGUUGUGGAUUGUGAGUCAAAUACACUGUGACCACAAAGUUACACCUCCAGGAGUAUCAGAUCAGAAUCCAGCAGGAUUUUAAUAAAAUGCUCUAAUGUCAGAAGUAAGCACUACUUUGCCUCUUUCUAGAUGCGGCUCCAUAGGUCAACUUGUCUUCUGCACCAAGAUGCCUUUUGGGUUCAGAGGGAUGAAGUGAAAACUCCCAGCCCCAGCACAUCCCUGCUGGAGCUUUAUGUACAAUAUACAACCCAGACAGACCAGGUGUAGCAUGCUAAAAAUUAAGUGCAGAGUUAAGUUUUGAUCAAUGGAGCGAGAAGAAAUGGAUGCCACAGGAGAAAGGAUCUAACGCUCUCCCGGUGAAUUGAGAAAGGUAGAGCAAAGAGAGAACCUUGACCUUCAUUGUAUGUGGCUACCAGACUUUCUCUAGGUUCAAAGUUUUACUGGAAACUUUUUUUUUUAACUCCUAGGCUUACAUUUACUAUUUAUGUCUCCCAUGCAGAGUAUGCCUUAAAAAUUUUUUUUAAUCAGAAAUUUCAUUUUCAGGCAGGUACACAAUUUGUGAAUGACUAAAGAGAUCUGACUGUAUCAUGGAAACCUCAUUGUUGACUUCUGGCCAAUUGCGAGUAACUUCAGUAUCUAAUUCAGAAAAGAAUGGUCUCUUGCUCUUGCCAGAGCAAAAGCUGCAGCAAUAUUAAUGGAAGACAGACUCUGUUCUAGGCUAUUUACAACAGGGGACAGGACAACACUCAACUCAAUGUCACUGAGCUCAACUUCAUUGAAGUUGAAUGAGGGCAGAAAAGAGUUCCUUGCUUUGAAAUACAUGAAUAUCAGAAAAGUGCCCUCAGGCAAAGAAGAUGCAGCUUUUUAAGAAAAGGAUCCAAUUUGGGAAGGAGGAACAGUGCUUCCAUGGCCACACAGAGCCCCAGCCAGACAACCUAGGACCACAGAGGAAAAAUUGCCUUGUUAAAGAGUCGUAAACUUUGAGUGACCCCACAUAGGCGAGGCUGGCAUUGGACCUGAGUGAAGACUCUUUCCUGACCAAGGAGCAUGAGGAUUUGCAUUAACUAAUCCUGAACAGACCAGUGGAGACCUCCUGCCUGUCCAGAGGGAUAUUUCUCGAGCCUUAAUGGGCUCAUCUGCCAUGAAAUCCCCUUCCUGACUUCCACCCAUCUAACACACCUCAGUGGGAUUCUUCACAGGUAUGUUCUUAAAAGUGGCAAAUAAAUACAACCAGCUUUAAAAAUUUCGUCCUGCCCUGGGUUGAUUUUGCAGUACUUUUGAAACCU
Molecule: long non-coding RNA, 1312 nt
Organism: Herpailurus yagouaroundi (jaguarundi)
Lineage: Eukaryota; Metazoa; Chordata; Mammalia; Carnivora; Felidae
Exons: 5
Source: RefSeq, a predicted model, not a curated record